Molecule: transfer RNA, 84 nt
Filed under: Crocinitomicaceae bacterium
Lineage: Bacteria; Pseudomonadati; Bacteroidota; Flavobacteriia; Flavobacteriales; Crocinitomicaceae
Description: tRNA-Leu
Rfam family: tRNA
About the family: Transfer RNA (tRNA) molecules are approximately 80 nucleotides in length. Their secondary structure includes four short double-helical elements and three loops (D, anti-codon, and T loops).
Source: RNAcentral
GCCCGGGUGGUGGAAUUGGUAGACACGCAGGACUUAAAAUCCUGUGGUAGCAAUACUGUACGGGUUCAAGUCCCGUCUCGGGUA